UUGGUCACGUGGGAGGCUUGUGAUUCUGCGGGUUGCAAUCUUAACACGAACGGGAAAGCGGGAAGCAGCCUCUCAUCUCUCCAAAGUCAAUCGAAAGAGAGUGUACCAAAUUCUCCUUACAAUUCGAGUGAUAUCCGGUCGCGUGUGUGGCAUUAUCGCAACGUUAGUGGACGAGCGCAGCAACAAUUAAAGAAAUUCCAGCUUGAAAGGAUAACACUUACAAAUCAUGUCUCCAUUCGAAAAGUUAGUUUUUGUUGCCGUCACACUGCUGCUUGUCGCUGCUCAAGUGAUACUUUCCACCGAAAUCGAAGACACAAAUGGAGCAGAAGAGUCACUUUUAACAGACUGGUCAGAUCUUGGCGGUCUUGGCGAGGUUUCAAAACGAGGCGGCGCCAGCCUCGUUCCCGUUGUCUACAGAUGUUCACCAUUCAACAACAGCAUACGAUGUGAAAAUGGCGGCAAAGGGCCACGCGUCAAGACAACAAGCCGAGGUCUACUAUGCGCAUGCUUAUGUAAACCUGAAUCGGCUGGCCCAUCUUGUAAAGCACCAGGCUCUAAAGCAAAAAGAUUCCACGCCGACUGGAGGAAGUACUAAACAGAGGUCAGAGGUUACUUCCUCUGCAAGUGUCACUUCCGGAUCUGGAUAUCAAAGCAGGAACAGACUGUACAGGGCUUUGUAAAUUCCUUUCUUGGCCUUCUUGAUUUCACAAUGCAAUAUUGACAACCCUUUCUAAUGUAUUUGUAAGUUUGAACACGUCUCCUAUUUUGUAUAGUGUAAAUACGAUGGAGGUAAUCUGGGAGGAAACAGACGGAGCUGCAUUCUUACACUAGCAGCGCUGAACAAUUAGUCAGACGGAGUCUUUACCCUCGCUUUACGGCUAAAUUUCAUUCAAGAACUUGACCUCUAAAUGACUCGUAUGCUUGUAUCAACUUAUUUUGAGAUAUUGUGCUUUGACACAGGUUCGGAAUAUGUCUUGCAGAACCAGCGGAGAGGGCGGCAAAUUACGAAUCUGUGCAUGCAAGUUAUUUCUACCGACAACAAUUGAAAAACUGAUAUUUCUGAGUAAAGGGUUAAUAUCUUGAA
Molecule: long non-coding RNA, 1084 nt
Organism: Lineus longissimus
Lineage: Eukaryota; Metazoa; Nemertea; Pilidiophora; Heteronemertea; Lineidae
Exons: 4
Source: RefSeq, a predicted model, not a curated record